RNAcentral lists this ribosomal RNA (1023 nucleotides) under Lichtheimia ramosa. Its description in RNAcentral is "SSU rRNA". It matches the Rfam family "Eukaryotic small subunit ribosomal RNA", at positions 68 to 1101 of the family's 1831-position model. Lineage: Eukaryota; Fungi; Mucoromycota; Mucoromycetes; Mucorales; Lichtheimiaceae. The record is from RNAcentral.
AGCAAUUUAAUACGGCGAACUGGCGAAUGGUUCAUUAAUUCAGUUUUAUCUACUCGGCAUCAAAUCUACCACUGGAUAACCGUGGUAAUCUAUAGCUAUACAUGCAAAAAUAUGGCGUACUUGGGAAGCCAUGCUAUUUAUUAUAAUAAACCCAACUUGUGGUAAAUCCCAGUUUAGUGACUCACAGUUACAUACCGAUGGAAUUGUGUCCACAGCACGUUUGAUUUUCUGCCCUAUCAUGGCUCUGUGUACGGUAGGGUCGUACACUGGCAUGAACGGUAACGGAGAAUAAGGGUUCUAUUCCGGAGACGGAGCCGGAGAGACGGAUACCACAUCCAAGGAAGGCAGCAGGCGCGCAAAUUACCAAUCCCGACAUGGGGAGGUAGAGGACAAUACAUAACAAUGCAGGGCCUUUAUGGUCUUGCAAUUGGAAUGAGUACAAUUUAAAUCCUUUAACGAGGAUCAAGUGGCAGGGCAAGGCGGUUCCAGCAGCCGCGGUAAUUCCAACUCCAAUUCCGUAUAUGAAAGUUGUUGCAGUUGAAACGUCCGUACUCGAACGUUAGCCUAAUGUCCAGGCCUCUCGUCAUUCAGUUGGUGAGUUGGUCUUGGACUGGGCACAACGUCUAGAUGGCCUGAGUCUCUUGGGGCGCGGGGUGUUCACUAGGCGUAUUACCAGGAACAAAUCAGAGUGGUUUAAAGCCGGGUUUUACGCUAGAACGUGUUCGCGGGAAUAAGGAAAUAAGACCCAGGGUUUAUUUCGUGGGUUUUGGGACCCAAAGUAUGAUGAAAAGGACUGGUCGGGGGCAUUUGUAUUUAGGCGCUAGAGGUGAAAUUCUUGGAUUGACCGGAAGACAAACUACUGCGAAAGCAUUUGACCCAGAGACAUCCCUAUUCACAAGGGAUAAUUUGAGGGAUCGAAGACAAUAAGACACCUGUGUGUUUGUCUUACACACACAAAUCGACGCCGUAUAGAUAUCGGGCUUGGUAUAUUAAGGCUCGCUCGGCACCUUAGCCGGAAACAAA